Molecule: unclassified non-coding RNA, 253 nt
Filed under: uncultured Legionellaceae bacterium
Lineage: Bacteria; Pseudomonadati; Pseudomonadota; Gammaproteobacteria; Legionellales; Legionellaceae
Description: contains 16S-23S intergenic spacer region
Rfam family: Bacterial small subunit ribosomal RNA
Source: RNAcentral
UACGGAGGGUGCGAGCGUUAAUCGGAAUUACUGGGCGUAAAGGGUGCGUAGGUGGGUAUUUAAGUUAUCGGUGAAAUUCCUGGGCUUAACCUGGGGUGGUCAGAUAAGACUGGAUGACUUGAGUAUGGGAGAGGGUAGUGGAAUUUCCGGUGUAGCGGUGAAAUGCGUAGAGAUCGGAAGGAACACCAGUGGCGAAGGCGGCUACCUGGCCUAAUACUGACGCUGAGGCGCGAAAGCGUGGGGAGCAAACAGG